Molecule: transfer RNA, 75 nt
Filed under: Candidatus Woesearchaeota archaeon
Lineage: Archaea; Nanobdellati; Candidatus Woesearchaeota
Description: tRNA-Pro
Rfam family: tRNA
About the family: Transfer RNA (tRNA) molecules are approximately 80 nucleotides in length. Their secondary structure includes four short double-helical elements and three loops (D, anti-codon, and T loops). Further hydrogen bonds mediate the characteristic L-shaped molecular structure. tRNAs have two regions of fundamental functional importance: the anti-codon, which is responsible for specific mRNA codon recognition, and the 3' end, to which the tRNAs corresponding amino acid is attached (by aminoacyl-tRNA synthetases). tRNAs cope with the degeneracy of the genetic code in two manners: having more than one tRNA (with a specific anti-codon) for a particular amino acid; and 'wobble' base-pairing, i.e. permitting non-standard base-pairing at the 3rd anti-codon position.
Source: RNAcentral
GGGGCUAUGGGGUAGCUUGGUUCAUCCUCUCUGGUUUGGGGCCAGAAGACCCCGGUUCGAAUCCGGGUAGCCCCA